UUUGUGAUUAGUGUUUUUUGCAAGCUCAUUUCUAUGGGAAUGAAUUGGUAUUGAAGAACAGAACAAAAGGUAGGUUGCACAUCAAUUAAAACCAGCUAGCAACAACAGCUCAACAUGCUCUGAAAGUCAUUAGCCCAGCAGAGAAUUUGCAUCUGAAAGACAAAUAUCUUGACCUGAUCAAGCACUCACCAAGAGCGAACUCCCCAGGGAAGGAAUGUCAUGGCAGGAAAGAGCAGAUAGCAGAAAAACUGACAGCCAAGAACUUACAUGCAUGUUAUUAAAAGACUUCGGUACUUUGGAGCUUCCUGCUCCUUCUUGAAACAUAACAAACAUAUCACUGUGGUCUAGAAUUAUAUGUAAGUCGAACAGAUAUUUGCAGUAAUUGAAAAAGGUGACUUUUUUCAGCCUGAGCUAUUUUCACACACAGUCAGAUGAAUUACCUGAAUCCAUGAACAUGUAUCUCGCCAUGAGUCAUCUUUUAGCAUUAGAUCAAAUGGGAAGGACAUUGGAAAGAAAAGAAAGCAUAUUACAUGGUACAAAAAAAAGCAAGAAAUAAACAUUGCCCUGUCUCAUAAAGGAGCCAAAUACUUAAAUGUAAAAAUGAAUGUUCUAACAAAUUGUAAUGAAAUAAAUUCAUAUGUUUCUCUAUUAGAAAAAAA
Molecule: long non-coding RNA, 659 nt
Organism: Rhincodon typus (whale shark)
Lineage: Eukaryota; Metazoa; Chordata; Chondrichthyes; Orectolobiformes; Rhincodontidae
Exons: 4
Source: RefSeq, a predicted model, not a curated record